UACGUAGGGGGCAAGCGUUGUCCGGAAUCAUUGGGCGUAAAGAGCGUGUAGGCGGCCCGGUAAGUCCGCUGUGAAAGUCCAGGGCUCAACCCUGGGAUGCCGGUGGAUACUGUCGGGCUCGAGUCCGGAAGAGGAGUGUGGAAUUCCUGGUGUAGCGGUGAAAUGCGCAGAUAUCAGGAGGAACACCAAUGGCGAAGGCAGCACUCUGGGGCGUGACUGACGCUGAGACGCGAAAGCGUGGGGAGCAAACAGG
RNAcentral lists this ribosomal RNA (253 nucleotides) under uncultured bacterium. RNAcentral's name for it is "partial 16S ribosomal RNA". It matches the Rfam family "Bacterial small subunit ribosomal RNA", at positions 524 to 776 of the family's 1533-position model. The record is from RNAcentral.